Panicum virgatum (switchgrass) is the source of this 363-nucleotide long non-coding RNA. RefSeq lists it as uncharacterized. The record is from RefSeq and is a predicted model, not a curated record. The transcript has 2 exons. Lineage: Eukaryota; Viridiplantae; Streptophyta; Magnoliopsida; Poales; Poaceae.
ACAUUCAGGACUGCUAUCCCUCCAUUUGGGCAGCUCCAAGUAUGGUUGGUUUGCGCAGAUGGAUAACUGCUGGCUUGAAUACCAAGUUGUAAGAUGGUUAGAUGAGAAGGUUGAAGUCUGGUUUUGGGUGUCUGCACGUCAGGGGCGGAGUUGGGCGGAGGAACAGCGCCUUGGACCUCUGAUUACCACCUCUCCACUCACACGUAGUGAGUAGGAGCUCUAUGUGUGUGAUGUUGUAGAAGAUCUAGAACAUUUGAACUUAUGAUUGGUGUGUUUGUGGGGUUGAACUUGUCAAUUGGUAGGGUGGUGCCACAAUGUAAUGGCACCCAAUGUGAAUAUGUACUCUACCCUUGAACUUUGUGA